UGGUGGCCGUGUCCGGCAGUCUGUCCGUGCUUCUGGAUUCCAUCAUCUGUGCGCUUGGCCCCUUGGCAUGUCUGACCACACAACUACCUGAACUGAACGGCUGUCCCAAGCAGGUCUUGUCAAACACAUUAGACAACAUUGCUUACAUCAUGCCUGGACUGUGACAGCGAGGAGCCCCGGGACAGAGACCUCGUCCUCCCCAUUGCUGGUGUGUGUGUAUGUGGGUGCUCCAGAUCGCUGGUCUCCGGGCACAGGCUUCGAAUUUUUAUAUAUAUACAUAUACAUAUACAUAUAUAUAAUGUACAAUAUAUACAUAGGACUGUAACUACUUUGCUUUUAAUAAUUUUAUGAAAUGGCAAAGGUUUAGCCAAGAGGAAACCUUGGCAUGAAUAUGGACUUGGGAUUCUUUUUUCUCCUGUGGUGGAUCAAUCUGCCUUAAAAAUCAAUGAAACUUGGGGGCUGGGGGCUUGUUCUGGGUGCCAAGGGCAUCUCUUUAUGGACAGCUAAAAAUGUGAUUUUUUUUUUCCAACUCAGUUGUACCUCCAGACCCAUCACUGACCAUUUGCCUUACCUGUCUCACAGUCUGAAAUGUAAUAGGAAAGAUUAUGGGAAGAUGCCAGUUGACUGAAAGUACAAAGCCUUGCAAUGUGAAGUGACCUAGGUUGGAGGUGAUAAAAUCGUUCCCAUCUCCCAGUUACUUCAGUGGCUUAGGUGAACUUUGUAGGGGUUCAUUCCGUUUCCUGCUAUACCAGUGUCCAUGUCUCAAAAUUUAUCGUAAUCUUUGGUACCAUUAGCAGCCUCAGUAGGGCCCAGGAGUUACGUGAGCCCCAGCAGCGUGAAACACCUUGGAGAGAGGGUAACGCUGUCGCUGCACAAGUUGAACAUGUAUUGUGAGCAGAUCCAGAAUAUUCCAUCUGCAGAACUAAUUGCUGGUAUCUUCCAUCGGUGACAUUCGCUUAGCCACCGAGUCCUCACAGGUUUUGCUGCUUAGUUGCUUGAUGGCUGUGGAAGAUGAACUUGGCCCAGCGUGAUUCUUGGGUUCAUCCGAUUGGCUCCCCUGGUGGGCAGAUACCCAGUGUUCUGCAUUCCACACAUAAGUGAAUUGCAAAAAGAGUACUCAAUUCUCAUGUAGGUUUAUUUAUGUGCGCUCGUGACUGUGUGUUUUAAUUAUGUGUAUUUAACUCUUUAAAAUCUCUUAGAUUUUAAUUUAUCCUGUAAAUUUCUGUAUAUAUAAUUUAAUAACAAAAGCCUCCACCAGCAACAGCAUGUGGAAGAUACAGAUUUGUCAUUUCUUCCCUCCUCCUUUCCUCUGAUCCCCUCUGAAAACUCCCAGAUCAUCUACAUUUUAAGGUAUCGUGCCUCAUAAAAGGAAUCAUUAUGUCAGGAUUCUAAUUCUUUAUAAUUCAAUAAUGUCAAGAAAGUAAAAUUAAAAGGAAUGUUACCAUUCCCAGCUGCCCACUUUUCCAAAGAACCAGACUUUUGCUUCCCAGUUCCAAAGAAGACAGCUGAGCACUUGAGGGUUGUUUUUCAGUUUGGUGUGGGGUUCCAGCCAAAACUAAGCUCCAAGGGGACUGUGAUUUCUUCCCUGGCCGAGGCAGAGGGGACUGUGCUUUCUUCCCCUGGCCGGGGCAGAGGGGACUGUGCUUUCUUCCCCGGCCAGCCGAGGCAGAGCGCUGCAGCAUGGAAGUAGAUCUUUGAGGACCCUGCAGCCAGCCCACAUCCUACUUCAUCCCUUCCCUCCUCCCCACCGUGUGGCCCCAGGGCUUCCUUUCCCAAAGGUGCUCUAGCUGCUGAUAGGCCCUCAGCUCGGAGCAGUGGUGAAGUUUAAUUGGGGAAACAGAAGGAAACGGGUAUGUUUGGGAACCUAAAUCAGUAAGAGCAGAUCUGGGUUUGAUUGCCUGUGUUAGACCCCAUGCCACACCUCAUCUGUACCCGUGGAAGUUUCCUGUCUGACACAGGGUAUCAAGGAGGGGCCUGGGAGACCUGGAGAAGUACGGAAGAGGUCAGUCCUGCCCCUGUCCUUCGUGCACGUUAAUGAAAUCCCAGUGAGGACCUGCUUUUUGUUUGUUUGUUUUCCUUUAAAACCCAACCCUUAUUGUAUUUGUAUUUAAAUUUGUACACAUUUGUAUAAUAAUCUGUACCUUGUGGUAUUUGGUACUAUUAGAGGAAAAACUUUGGAUUCAGACCUUCUUGCAGUUUUUAUAUCAUUGUUUUAUUUUGUUUUUUAAAUAAAUUCUAGCGGUUUGAUCCAAAUCCCAUUACAGUUGUAUAAAGAAAUAAAAUUUUGUACUUAUAUUAUUAAAAAUCACAUUUUUAA
Molecule: long non-coding RNA, 2317 nt
Organism: Hyaena hyaena (striped hyena)
Lineage: Eukaryota; Metazoa; Chordata; Mammalia; Carnivora; Hyaenidae
Exons: 2
Source: RefSeq, a predicted model, not a curated record